GUGCUUGCUUUGGAAGCACAUAUACUAAAAUUGGAAUGAUACAGAGAUUAGCAUGACCCCUGAUCAAGGAUGACAUGCAAAUUUGUGAAGCGUUCCAUAUAUUU
This is a small nuclear RNA of Monodelphis domestica (gray short-tailed opossum), 104 nucleotides long. Lineage: Eukaryota; Metazoa; Chordata; Mammalia; Didelphimorphia; Didelphidae. The record is from Ensembl.